RNAcentral lists this ribosomal RNA (253 nucleotides) under uncultured bacterium. RNAcentral's name for it is "partial 16S ribosomal RNA". It matches the Rfam family "Bacterial small subunit ribosomal RNA", at positions 524 to 776 of the family's 1533-position model. The record is from RNAcentral.
GACGAACCGUGCGAACGUUGUUCGGAAUCACUGGGCUUAAAGGGAGCGUAGGCGGGCUAUCAAGUCUGGGGUGAAAUCCCACGGCUCAACCGUGGAACUGCCUUAGAUACUGACGGCCUCGAGGGAGAUAGGGGCAUGCGGAACUAACGGUGGAGCGGUGAAAUGCGUUGAUAUCGUUAGGAACUCCGGUGGCGAAAGCGGCGUGCUGGAUCUCUUCUGACGCUGAGGCUCGAAAGCUAGGGGAGCAAACGGG